Long non-coding RNA from Phasianus colchicus (ring-necked pheasant), 2535 nucleotides. RefSeq lists it as uncharacterized. NCBI's taxonomy places the organism in Eukaryota, Metazoa, Chordata, Aves, Galliformes, Phasianidae. The record is from RefSeq and is a predicted model, not a curated record.
AAAAACUCACCCGUUUUCACACACGCGUAUACACACAGCAGUAGGUUGAACUGAGGAGCCGCUUAAAAGAACAUGAAAAAAACGAACCCAGAUUUAUUGGGAAGCAGGGCACUGAUGAGCAACAAGCAAUAAAGACAGACUUCACCAAGCAGACUGCUCUUCAGCCAUGCCAUCAACCAGCUGUACGAACGGAUUCAUCAAAGGCUGAACUCUGGAUAAAACUACAGAAGAGUACGCAAGAUUUAAUUGAGGCAAGCAAGACUGGGUUUGCAGUGACAUAAAGCAAGCAAACAUUUGCAGUAGAAGAUGUCAACGGUGGUUUACAAGUCUGAAGUGCAUGUAUUUGAACAUUUCUCUCGUAAACAAAUACUGCAGCAGCACACACUGUUGUGACAUUUAUGACCAACUUUGUAAAUAAAUACUUAAAUCUCCAACUACAUUCUUUGCCUUUUCAAAACACUAUCCAGUUUACUCCUUGAUGCAUUCAAAUAUUAGCUGUAGACCACAACAGCAGCAGGUCAUUUUCUAAGAAAGAAGUUUUCUCCAUCAUUUGAAUAGGAUGCUAAAGUUGGUGAAGAAAUUAUUUUUUAAAACAUGUAUGUACUUGAUUUCAAAUCACAUUCAUUCAAUUAUCAUGUAAAGGAGAUGGACGCAGCGGUAGGAAGAACAUGACUCAAUUUCUGCAGGAUGGUUUAGUUCAUACAUUGGAAUCACACUAAGGUCCCAUGUGCAUUACACAGCAGCAAAUUUCCUUUGCUGAAAAUGAAUUUCACUUACUGGAAUGAUUGAAAGUAUUAUUAACUCAGGGUGAGAUUUCCAAAAGGUGAUCAGUGAAGUAAGCAGAUUUUUAGAACUAACCCUCCCUUAAACAUGUACUUAACUAAAAGCACAAUUAAAAAAGACAUACCCAAAGUAAAGCUACUGCAUAGGCCUGCAGAUUAGCACGAGGAGGUAUCUCAAGAAACAAAGCUCCCUUACACCUACAUACCUGUUGCAAAAUGAAUGGAGUGAUUAAAAAGGCAUGACAAGAUUAUUUUAUGCACUAUAUUGUUCCCAUCUUUCAGUGAUGUUACCCAGCACCCAUACUGUAGGCCCUCACUCUGCACAUGUAACGGCACACAUAGAAACGGCUCUCAACUCUUUUCUGCAGUGCACACAUAUCCCCUUUAUACGAUGUUGGUAGGCAUACAAGUAGCAUUUGUAUUUCAGUGUCAGCCUUUGCGUUGUUCUUAAAAAAUCACACAAUCUAACCCUCUGAUUUACCACCAGAUAAUAAUGAGCCCUAUCUGCUGCUAAAUCGGACUUGUGUCCAACUGGCACAUGAAAAGAAAUGGAUUCUCUUGAGUAAUUCCCGCUGGUUUUGAGGAGAUGUUUACUUCUUCUUUCAACUCAAGUUCUGAUCUCGUAGAGACAUACAGGAUUUUUCAAGGUCUGAAUUUUUUCCCCAGGUGUGCACCGCAGAACAGAGAAAUUACUUUAAUCAAACAAAAUCCAUGAUAUUCUACAGUGUUCUUCUUGAACUCCUUCUACAGAAGUGCCCAAAUCUGUCACUGGACCUCUUCUCUCCUGUUCUUCCAGACAGUUAAGUAAUACAUAAGAAAAAGUAAACCUGGUUCAGUUGCUCAAUUGCUUCUGCACUUUCCAAACCACCACUUGAACUCAUUCUGUCUUAACCAAAGACAACUUGGAUACAGUGCAACAACUGCUUUUGAUAGCUAAAGUACGAAAAAUCUCAGAGCAACAUGAUCCCUAAUGAUACCAGUGUUAAGAAAAAACCAAACCAAUAAAUAUUAACCAUUUGCUAAGCAGCAAUACAACAGUAAUGUGUUGUGUGUUAGUUUGCCCUCGCCAUUCUUUUAGCUUCAUUUUCAGCCAACAAACAGAUCUGUAAGAAAUCAUCCAUGGAGAACUAGAAAUUUUACAACUUCAGACAAUUUUUGCUCUCACAUAGCCCUUGAUUAUAUCCCAACAUUUAUUCAAAUCAUUCUUUAAGAAUUAUUUUCUAUGUGUAGAAAUAGCAUCUCUUCACUCGUCUUAUACACCUCUACGUUCAAUGACUGCACAAGGCUAAAAGUCAUUCAACCACAUCUCCGUUACCUGUUAUUCCCAGAAAGAACAAAGAAAGAGUCCUGCAGAAAUCAAAAGACAACAGCACUACAAAAAUCACAGAAUUGUGGUAUUCCUCUUAUUCUAAAAAGCUCAGAGUGAAGGAGAGGAGCAGAUCUGAGAAGUUGUCAAGUUUUAGAACCUGAUCUGCAACUCAGGUAAAUACUGAAAAAAAUAUCACAAAACAACAGUGCAUGAUCUUCCGCAUCAAACGUCAUUUUUAACAUCAGACACAUGGGAUACAAAAAUAUCCUAUCAUUUUAAUAGAGUUGAAUUACUCUCAGUUUCUAAAGUUGGUGCCUAGUCUGAUGCUUUCCUUGUGCUUUACUUGGCAUGCCCUAUGUGGAAAGGCUGAGGGCACUGGGCUGGAAGAGGCCAACACAGUCUCAUAGAAUGGCUGGGGUUGGAAGGGACCUCAAGGAUCAUGAA